AUCAGAGGAGCCUGAGCGUAAUGUUAAUGUUCUGAGUGCUUCUGAAGUGACAGGAAGUGGUGCAUAUGCCCAGGGACAAAGCCAAGUUGAGGAGCAGAACCACAGUAGCUUGAGGAAGGAAUAGGUGAGAGUAGUGAUCCACCUGCCUCGGCCUCCCAAAGUGCUGGGAUUACAGGCGUGAGCCACCGCGUCCAGCCAAUUGGUGGGUUCCUGGUCUCACUGACUUCAAGAAUGAAGCCACGGACCCUCGCAGUGAGUGUUACAGUUCUUAAAGAUGGUGUGUUCAGAAUUUGUUCCUUCUGAUGUUCGGACGUGUAUGGAGUUUCUUCAUUCUGGUGGGUUCGUGGUCUCUCUGGCUUCAGGAAUGAAGCUGUAGAACUCUGCGAAAUAAGCUUCAAAUGAAAUAGGCUUUCGAUGUGACAGUGUUUACAGGAAACAUUAUGCUGUUACGAACUUCCCUUAGAAUCAACCCAUUUGUGAAACACCACAUUAAUAAGAGCAGUAUCUUUGGAGAUUGGAGAGUCCACCAAGGAUGCCCACUGGCUCCCUACAAAGUUUUUUAUGUGAGGACUCGGUCUCAGGCUCAGAAGUGGAAGAGAUGUGCCUUGACUCAGAUGAGACUUUGGACUUGGACUUUUGAGUUAAUUCUGGAAUGAGUUAAAACUUUAGGGGACUGUUGGGAAGGCAUUAUUGUGUUUUAAAUGUGAAAAGAACAUGAGGUAUGGGAGGGGUCAGGGGUGGAAUGAUAUGGUUUGGCUCUGUGUCCCCACCCAAAUCUCAUGUCAAAUUUUAAUCCCCAGUGUUGGUGGAGGAGCCUAGUGAGAGGUGACUGAAUCACAGGGGCAGACUUCCUCCUUGUUUCUCUUGUGAUAGUGAGUGAGUUCUCAUGAACUCUGGUUGUUGUAAAGUGUGUGGCACCUUUCCCUUCACUCUCUCUCUUCCUCCUGCUCUUGCCGUGAGAAUAAGUGCAUGCUUCCCCUCCUGCCAUGGGAAUAAGUGCAUGCUUCCCCUCCUGCCAUGAGAACAAGUGCAUGCUUCUCCUUUUGCCUUCUACCAUGUUUGAAAGUUUCCUGAAGCCUCUCCAGCCAUGCUCCCUGUGCAGCCUGCAGAACUAUGAGCCAAUUAAACAUGUUUUUGUAUAUAAAUUACCCAAUCUUAAGUAGUUCUUUAUAGCAACACAAGAAUAAACUCAUACAACCCCCAUUAUCAUUCAGCUAAAUAUGGUUGGGUUUUUGGAGCCUCAAGCAUGAAGGUGAACUGGCUAUGGCUAUACCAGCCUGAAAGGAUUGAACUCUCCCCUGGAAUCCCAGAACAAAUUCCUUCAACUGAAAAUGUCUCUCCUGUCUCGAGGAGCAAGUCCCCACAAAUUUAUUUUCUCACUUUCAUCCAAACUCUGAUAAUUCUGGAAAGAAGACCAAAGAUUUGUCAAUAACAGGCACUCUUAGGGCAGUGUCUGUUCCCUGAGCUGAUCAUAGGAGCAUGUUGGGAAAUUUCAUCAAAUGUAAAAUCAAAGCCUUGUAUUAGACUUAGCAAAAGUUAGCCGUUGGCAAAUUGUGAAAUUGGUUAAGUAUGCCUGUGGCACCUUCCCACUUUCAUAAUUAAUUUUUAUGCCCUCCCACUUGGCUCUUAUAACCCUACAAGUACAAAUAAUUGGUCAUUUGUGUGACUUUCUGUUUAUUGCAUGUCUCUAUUUAACUUGCUAUAAUUUGCAUAUGUGUGGAGACUACACUUGUCUUUUUGGCUACUAUAUCCUUCUGUCCCCUAAUAUUGUACCUGAUUAUGGAAUACGCCAAUUUAUUAAAUGAAUAAAGUUUUUUUAAAUAUCUUGACCCCUUUUUGGAACAUUAUAUAGCACAAAAAUAAUUGUUCAGUGACUGUACCUUAACUGAAUGGAUUGUAUGAGUAAUGGAAGUGGUUAAGAUAUGAAUCACUCUGGGAUUGCAUUUCCACAAAACUUUUCCAAGACCUAUCAUAAGAGGGAGGGAAGAGUGAGACCUCCCAAUACACUGUAUAUUUACAAGAACUGCAAAACUUUCAAUGGUAUGUUUCUUUACUUGUAGCAGGCUUUAGGUUUCAACCUGUUCUCUCUAAUGCCUGCCACUGUCUACCUCAUCUCUGUGACUUCUGUCUCCAUGUAGUUGGCUGUGAAAUAGGAUGCAGUUUCUUCUUCUUCCCUUGCUAUUUUUGUUUAAUGGACACAAGUCCCUAUUUAAUCACCUGGAAAAGCUACCAGAAGGGGAAGAAAGCAAGCCACAUUGAGAGUAUACACUACUCUUACUAAUAUAAUCUUAGGCCAUUUGUACUGUUUUUGUUUCUGGGCCAUAUUGUAAACUCUUUGGUAUGGAACAAUAAUAAUCAAAAUUGCUUACAUGUAUUGAGUACAUGUUAUUUAUUAUACUCAUUUGACACUUUAAACUGUUUUGUCAUUUAGUCUCAAAAUGGUUUGGAUUUACAAAUGAGUACACUGAGGCUCAAAAAGGAGUAGGCCGUUUUCAAAGGUAACUCAGCUAGUAAGUGACAGAGAUGGAUCUGAAAUCCAGGUCUCGAUUAUCCCAAAACUUUUGUUCUCACUGUCCAACGACUGAUUUAAGACAAAACGUUGCUGGCUUCUAAUUUCAAGUGAAAAAGUGUUAUUUCUAAGGAUGUCCAGAAUGGAUGAAAUGUAAUUUAUUAAACUUCCCCUCUUACGUAUUUUGGCAAUUCUCUCUCAUCUUUUUAGUAUAUGAAGCAGUGACUCAGAAAACAAAUUCCCAGAGUGAAUGAAUACCUGUAGCCCCCUAGUGGCCUAAGAAUGUUAUCCACUUCACAGUGAACUGGGAUAACUCAGAAGCAUUUCCUCA
RNAcentral lists this long non-coding RNA (2840 nucleotides) under Homo sapiens (human). Its description in RNAcentral is "HSALNT0057977". Lineage: Eukaryota; Metazoa; Chordata; Mammalia; Primates; Hominidae. The record is from RNAcentral.